UACGUAGGGUGCAAGCGUUAUCCGGAAUUAUUGGGCGUAAAGAGCUCGUAGGCGGUUUGUCGCGUCUGCUGUGAAAACCCGAGGCUCAACCUCGGGCCUGCAGUGGGUACGGGCAGACUAGAGUGCGGUAGGGGAGAUGGGAAUUCCUGGUGUAGCGGUGGAAUGCGCAGAUAUCAGGAGGAACACCGAUGGCGAAGGCAGAUCUCUGGGCCGUAACUGACGCUGAGGAGCGAAAGCGUGGGGAGCGAACAGG
Molecule: ribosomal RNA, 253 nt
Filed under: uncultured bacterium
Lineage: Bacteria
Description: partial 16S ribosomal RNA
Rfam family: Bacterial small subunit ribosomal RNA
Source: RNAcentral